CAGUCGCCACGGGAAUACGUAGGGUGCGAGCGUUAAUCGGAUUUACUGGGCGUAAAGCGUGCGCAGGCGGCCCGUUAAGGCAGGUGUGAAAUCCCUGGGCUCAACCUAGGAAUUGCGCUUGUGACUGGCGGGCUCGAGUACGGUAGAGGGGGGUGGAAUUCCUGGUGUAGCAGUGAAAUGCGUAGAGAUCAGGAGGAACACCGAUGGCGAAGGCAGCCCCCUGGGCCUGUACUGACGCUCAUGCACGAAAGCGUGGGGAGCGAACAGGAUUAGAUACCCCCGUAGUCCCUGUCUCUUAUAC
Molecule: ribosomal RNA, 301 nt
Filed under: uncultured bacterium
Lineage: Bacteria
Description: partial 16S ribosomal RNA
Rfam family: Bacterial small subunit ribosomal RNA
Source: RNAcentral